GACGAACGCUGGCGGCGUGCUUAACACAUGCAAGUCGAACGGAAAGGCCCUGCUUGCAAGGUACUCGAGUGGCGAACGGGUGAGUAACACGUGGGUGAUCUGCCCUGCACUUCGGGAUAAGCCUGGGAAACUGGGUCUAAUACCGGAUAGGAGCCAUUUUUAGUGUGAUGGUUGGAAAGUUUUUUCGGUGUAGGAUGAGCUCGCGGCCUAUCAGCUUGUUGGUGGGGUAAUGGCCUACCAAGGCGGCGACGGGUAGCCGGCCUGAGAGGGUGGACGGCCACAUUGGGACUGAGAUACGGCCCAGACUCCUACGGGAGGCAGCAGUGGGGAAUAUUGCACAAUGGGCGCAAGCCCGAUGCAGCGACGCCGCGUGGGGGAUGACGGCCUUCGGGUUGUAAACUCCUUUCGCUAGGGACGAAGCUUUUUGUGACGGUACCUAGAGAAGAAGCACCGGCUAACUACGUG
This 465-nucleotide ribosomal RNA is filed under the name uncultured bacterium. RNAcentral describes it as "partial 16S ribosomal RNA". It matches the Rfam family "Bacterial small subunit ribosomal RNA", at positions 28 to 507 of the family's 1533-position model. The record is from RNAcentral.